UUCAUUUUACUUUAGGCUAACAGGCUCAGCUGCAGAUUGAAGGCCUCAUGUCAGCCUUGUAAGUCUGUGUUACUUAAGCAGGAGCAGCCAGGAAUCUAAUAAUGAAGGGCUGGCCAAGAGCAGAGUCCUAAAACUAACACCACUUCAACACCCUAUGCAAGGGAACCAAUUUUUUCCCCUUUAACACUGUACUAGGGGCCUCAUAGGCUAUAAAGGACAUUUUGUGCAAGGCUGUCUUUAGUAACGAUUGGCUGUCUCCAUGCAUACCAUGACAGCAGGUUUGUGAAACAGUCUGGAAUAUAUUUUUAUGCUUCAACACACCACCCCAGAAGCCUGCGACACAAGCACCAGUGUUAUGCUUCACAGAGAUACAGCUGAUUUACGUUUUGAAGACAACAUGCAAAAAGAUGUCUGAAGAUAAUCUUACACAGCAAAUGCACAACAUUGGCCAAAAACUUCUGGAAAAGAUUAAGGAGAUCCCAAAGUCUGACACUGUGGAUAUUGUUUGCUUUGCAAUAAUUGUGACAUUUAUCGGUACUGUACUACUGAUGUUCAUUCUUGCCUGUGCCCACUGCUGCUGCUGCAAGACUAAUGCCACCAAGAUUCAGCCUUAUUCGCAUGCGUGACAAAAGGCGCAGAAAGCCUAGAUCUACAGGUGCACAUGCAGUACAGAUUAUAUAGUCUCUGGCACAGAACCUUAACAGAAGAUAAGAACGUCAUGUUGAUUACCAUUGCACUGAUGUCUGCAUAUAAGCACUUUGCCUUUUCUAGUUACUUCACGGUGUUAACAUAGCUAGAUAUUCUUGGAGGAAUUCUCAGCCACUGGCAAACACCAAGUGAAGAAUCUCUGACAUGAACAGACCAGCACCUGUAAGAAUGGUAACAUUCUGAGAAGAAGCAGGCUCCAUCAUAUAUGUGGGGGUCAUUUAUGUUUUUAUUUCUUUGCAAACUAGCAAAACAUUCAACAUGAUGUAUAUUCUAGCUACAUAAUUCUCUCAAUAUUAUAUACAUGGCCUCAACUCCAAUAAACGAAGACUAAACAUAAAUGUUAAAGCA
Molecule: long non-coding RNA, 1056 nt
Organism: Protopterus annectens (West African lungfish)
Lineage: Eukaryota; Metazoa; Chordata; Ceratodontiformes; Protopteridae
Exons: 3
Source: RefSeq, a predicted model, not a curated record